RNAcentral lists this ribosomal RNA (164 nucleotides) under uncultured bacterium. Its description in RNAcentral is "partial 16S ribosomal RNA". It matches the Rfam family "Bacterial small subunit ribosomal RNA", at positions 355 to 525 of the family's 1533-position model. The record is from RNAcentral.
UCAUGGAUAUGGCGCAGCUGAUGCAGCAUGCCGCGUGAGUGAUGAGGCCUUCGGGUUGUAAGCUCUGUCGUUCGGGACGAUCAUGACUGUACCCAUAGAUGAAGCACCUGAUAGCUCCGUGACAGCAAGCGCAGGCAUACUACGUGCCAGCAGCCGCGGUAAUA